Molecule: long non-coding RNA, 467 nt
Organism: Mesocricetus auratus (golden hamster)
Lineage: Eukaryota; Metazoa; Chordata; Mammalia; Rodentia; Cricetidae
Exons: 3
Source: RefSeq, a predicted model, not a curated record
UUAGUGAUUGAUGUAGGAGGGCCCAGUCUAAGGUGGGUGGAGCUACCCCCAAGCUGGUGGUUCUCUGUUCUGUAAGAAAGCCUGCUGAGCAAGCCAUGAUGAGCAAGCCAAUGUCUAUCCAUAAGCUCAUAUACUAGAAGCUUGGACCUCAAUGCUACAGCAUAAAAGGUCACCAACUCAGAGAUUCUUGUGGCAGUGAAAACUUAAAGAGUCUGCAAUCAAAACUGCUGUGGGAGAAAGAGAAAAAAAACAGAACCUUGAUGGCAACAGCAACUUUCUUUCUUUUGAAGAAGAAAAGAACAAAGGCUCAAGUCCUUCUGGGAAUUUGAAAGACUUGUCUCAAGUCUCAUCAGUUUGACUUCAGAAUGAAGCCAUGAAGCUGCUUGUGCUGCGCUUUCAUCGACCAAACCAAUGCUCGUGUUAGAGGGUCAAAGUGUUAAGAGUUUUACUAAAGAAAUAAAUGUCAC